ACCUAUGAUGAUGACUGGUGGCGUAUGAGUCAUUGACGGUGAAUACAGGUCUGGAAGUCUGAGGUCCAAUAUAAUAAAAAAUCUAGUCUUCACCUUCUAUCCUAGGGAUAGACAUUAGGAAUAUUUGAGGAUGUUGUUCUUGGUCUUCACGUUCAUGCAUUUUCCCUCUAUUUUUAUAAUUGGAUCAAUGAAUCAAUAAGCAAAUAUAUUUUAACUGCAUAAAGAUAAAAAUAGGCGUUGUCCAAUUAUGGAAAUAUAUGGUGAAAUAAGAAAUACUAUUCACAUUUAUUAAAAACACUGAGGUCUUCUUUCUAUUAACAAAUAAAUGACUCAGAGGUAUUACUCGCUUGCUGCAGGAUGGCAUAUACAGUAAAAAUAAUAAUAACGUAUGUGAGGUCAUUUGGGUCAGGACCAUGUUCAUGGUUGUUUGUUUUCUCAAGAAAAAAUAGUUUCACACAUACUUACAUGACUAAUAGAAUGAAAGGAGAAAUGUGUGGAUAAAUGGACAGAAUAUUUCCAUCUUUUUAUCUUUUUUGCUUUGUACUCUCACAAUGAACACCCUCAAGUUGACUUAAGCACCCUUCCAUGGUCAUGAGGUUUCUGGUUGCCUCUGUGUGUUAGAAGCUUGGAGACCAAUGUGAGUAUAGUCAAAGUUCUUGUCUUGGUUCUGGGUUUUUAAGGGGUAGUCAUUGUUUUAUUAAGAACAUUACAGAUAAUCCAAAAGGUUAACCAUGGUCCAGGGGUAAUUAUGGCAUUGCCAUGAAACAUUAUGUUGAUUAUCUAAUAUUUAUAAAAUUAAAAAUGAUUAAUGAUAAAAUCACUGUGAGAGAUGAUCCUAUAGAGAGCUAUACAGUAUUUCUUGUUCUUAAGUUUUUGUAACAUUAUUUAAUUACUAUUAGUGAAAGGAUGAAUUAAUAAAUAAACAAAUGUAGAAGUAAUGGAGAAGAGGAGGGCCAGUCUUCAGUCAAUGAUGACUCUGCCUCUGUUGAAAAUACCAUACCCUAUAGACAGAUUUAAGAAUACACAAGGCUCAUGUUCUUGGUUUUUGCAUUAAUGGAUUUUGAUUCUAUUAUUAUAAAUAGAUCAAUGAAAGAAUCAAUAAAGCAAUAGAAACACACAUGAGUAAUGAAAUCAUCGUACAAUUAUGAAACUAUGUAGGGAAACGAGAAGCCAUUUAUAUAUAUAUGGAAAAAGUCUGUUAAGAAAUAAAUGUUUCAAAUGUGUUACCUCUAGCUAAGGAUGAUAUAGAGGAUAUAAAUAAUAUAGAUAGAUAAAAUAAUUAAUAAACAAAUAUAAAUAAAUCUGAAUAAGUGAAGUACUGUCCAAUUACAAAAAUUGUAUGAGUAGAUAAAAGAAACUAUUCAUAUAUAUUGAAAACAAUAGAGUCUAUUAUGAAAUAGUCAAUAUACAAAGAAACGCUCUUGAUUUGUGUCAGUGUCAAGAUCAAUGUUGUUUGUUUUCUUAAAAAAUUAAUAAAUAUUAAGUGAAAAUUUUAAAUGUCUAAAUGAUUGGCUAAAUGAAAGGUGACAUGCAUAGAUCGAGGAAAAUAAUGUCUCCAUUUUUAUUUUCUUUAUCUGCACUGCUUUGUACUUACAGGCCUUCUGCUGUGAUCGCGUUCUCCACAGUUGCCUCUGGGUAGGAGCCUGGACACUAAUAGAAAAUGGAUGCACUUGAGCCGACCUAAGCAUUCAUGGUCAUGAGAUUUGUGGUUGCCACUGUUGGUUAGGAGCAUAGAGAUCAGUGUGAGUAAUAAAGUUCAUGUCUUUCUCUAAGAGACUUUUUAAAGGGUAUUCAUAAUAUCAUGAAUGUGUGAAAAAUUAUCCAAAAGGCCAACCUCAGCCAAUGAUAAAUAUGAGAUUGGUUGAAACAGUAUAUUUGCUAGCUCAUUUAUGACACAUUGAGGAUAAUUCAUGAAAGAUAUAUCAAAGUGGCAGAUUAUAUAGAAAGUUGUGGAAUAUUCUAUGCUCUUACUGUUUGGAUAUUAUAUUUACAUGGGUUAUAAUAUUAAUAUUCAUGAAUUAAUGCAUAAAUAACAUGUAAAUGAGAAUUAAGCUAAACAGUCCUAAGCCUGAGCCAGUGAUGAAAACUGGUGGCAUAGAAGUCAAGGAUGCUGAAUAAUGUGUGUCUAGAACUCUGAGGUUCAAUAGAGGAGGAAAUAUAGUCUAUUGCUUUUGAAGUGAUCUUAUAGUUAGGUUUUGGAAAUACAAAAGGGCCAUCUUCUUGGAUUGUUUUUGUGACUUUUGUUUCUUCUUUAAAAUAAAUUCAUUGAUGUAAUAAUCAAUGUACACAUGUAAAAAAUUAAAGAUGAGGAGUGUGAAGCAUGUCCACUCAAUGUAAAUGGUGAGACAACAGAAAUCAUUAAAAUGUAUUGAAAAUAUGAAUACCAUUUAAAAAACGAACAAUUCAAGUGUAAUCUUUGACUACGGAUGACAUAAGCAGUAUAGUGAAGUUUCUUAUUUUGCAUCAGAACAAGUGUGCUGUUGUUCAUUUUUUUAAAAGAAAAUUGAUAAGUAUUACCACAAUUAAUAGAUACCUGAAUGACUAAGAGAAGGGUCAAAUGAAUGAAUCCGUGAAAAAUAUUUCAAUCCUGUUACCUUCUCUGCUUUGCACUUCCCAGAAUGGACACACCUGGGCUGGCAGAACAUCUUGCCUUGAUCUGGAGCCCCAUGUCUGCCCCUCUGUAGAGGUGCACAUGGGCCAAUGAUGGAUGCAAUGAGCUGAUCAUUUUGCUGUGAUCAAGGCUAUGUUGCCUCUGUGUUAGGCCAAUGGUUGAUGUUCAUGGGUGAUUGAUCAUCCUGUAGCGACGGUGGUAUUGACUGUUCCCCAGAGGACAAGGAGUGUGUUCUUAUGUAAGUCAUAGUUGACAUUCUUGUUUUUGAUUGGGUAGUUUGCCUGUUCAUUGAUGUUCAUAGUACUAUAGAAGGUAGAUAAAUGGCCACAUACCUAAAGAAAAUCAAAGGGGACAAAAAGUGAGAGUCUGUUAUAAACUAAGGAUUAUAAUUAAUGUAAUUCAGUACAACUGUGGACAAUUUUGAAAAGAUAAAGAUUGAUGUCAUUUUAGUCAUUUUAUAGAUAAACUAAAAAUGGGACAUUUUUAAUAUCCCAUUUUAGCAUUUUUCAUAGUUUACACAAACGUUCCUAUAUUGCUAGAUAGCCUAGUCUGUGAACUCCCUGAGGAAGGAGCACAUGUGAAGUAAAUACUUGUCAUUAUCAUAGUGGGUUCAAGUGGAAUAUUCUUCCGGCUUAUUGUUACAUCUUCAUAGACUAUAUAAUUUAAACAAAACGGUUCAAGCAUGGACCAUGACAUAACUGAAAUCAAAUCUAGACAAACAUGAUUAUUAUUAUAUUUCACAACAUUUUUGUAGUUCGUUACAAAAAAAGACCUAGCCUAUUAUAUUACCUUGUCUAUUAUCUCUCUUGGAAAUGAACCCAUUGACAGAUAUUAAGACUAUUCAAGAAACUUGCUUAGGGGCUAUGGUGGAUUGUUAACACAUACUAAUUUUAUUAUCAGUGGAUAAGUAUGCAUAAACAUCUUGUAAGUUAAUAUAGAUACAUAUGUCUAAGUGUGGUCUCAUUUUGAGUAUAUUUACUGGAACAAGAAUUAUUAUGACAUGUCUUAAAUGUUAUGAUCCAUUAAUAAAAAUAGACCAAGCUUGUGACCCAAGUCAGUAACCUGCAUAUACACAUAUGUGAAUACUCAUUGUCUUUAUUUCUGGAGCUUUUUAGUUUAUACUUGUUUUUGUUUUCUCUUUUAGUAAAUUGAAAACAUUAUAUAAAUACAUAAAUCAAAACAUAGGUAAGGAAGUUAGAGGAAGCUAAGCAUGGACUACUUAUGAGGAUGUGUUUUUAAGCAGGGAUUAUAACUUAAUCCAUUUUAGUACAAUGGAGCACGAUUUAAAAAGAGAUCAGUGUUUUCCAUUCUCUUUUCAUAGCUAUGUAUUAUUCCAUUUUGGGUUUUACUCCUGUUUAUGCAACAUUCCUUGAUGGAUAACAAUCUAUGGGUUAGAUCCAAGGCUUAAAUUUUACGUAGUUGUGUUUUUAUAAGUCAUUAUCAGGGUUUUAGAUGUUGAAUGGGGUGAUGACUUGAUGGUUGUUCGUUGUUCCAUCUUAAACGUAUGUACAUGUUAAAUGAAGAAAAGGCCAAGCACCAAUCAGUGAUAUGAAUGGAUUGAUUGAUCAGUUUUAUGAUUAAAUUCAUUUCUGCACCCCUGCAAUUUAUUUAAAAGGGAGAUUUGGUAUAUUAAAUCUAUGGAAAUUUCAAUGGAGUGAUUGUCUCAUGCUUUUCACACCUGUCCUAUAUUCCACAGAAUGGACAUCAUGAUUGGGAUUGUCUUUAUUAAACUUUGUCAGGAGAGUAAAGAUCAAUGUGGCCACAUGUUGUGGCUCAUGCCUGUAAUCCCAAC
This 4403-nucleotide long non-coding RNA is filed under the name Homo sapiens (human). Its description in RNAcentral is "HSALNT0379285". The stretch from base 2070 to 2144 matches the Rfam family "Small nucleolar RNA SNORD113/SNORD114 family". The record is from RNAcentral. Lineage: Eukaryota; Metazoa; Chordata; Mammalia; Primates; Hominidae.